UACGUAGGGUGCGAGCGUUGUCCGGAAUUAUUGGGCGUAAAGAGCUCGUAGGCGGUUUGUCGCGUCUGCUGUGAAAACUCGGGGCUUAACCCCGGGCCUGCAGUGGGUACGGGCAGACUAGAGUGCGGUAGGGGAGACUGGAAUUCCUGGUGUAGCGGUGAAAUGCGCAGAUAUCAGGAGGAACACCGGUGGCGAAGGCGGGUCUCUGGGCCGUGACUGACGCUGAGGAGCGAAAGCGUGGGUAGCAAACAGG
RNAcentral lists this ribosomal RNA (253 nucleotides) under uncultured bacterium. Its description in RNAcentral is "partial 16S ribosomal RNA". It matches the Rfam family "Bacterial small subunit ribosomal RNA", at positions 524 to 776 of the family's 1533-position model. The record is from RNAcentral.